CUCCCUCCCGGGCCUCGACCCCACCUGGGUCCAGCCGCCGCCAGGGAGGGGCUCCCCGUGGCGGGAGGUGUGCAAGCCGCACCGUGCGGUCCCUCGGCCCCGGGCCCCGCGUGCGUUCACGGAAGAAAUGAGGGGCCGGGAGGCAGGUUGAAGCCAGCGGCUCCUCGCGUCCCUGCAGAGUGUUGGAAGAUUCCAGAGGCCCCACAAAACCUGUCCCGUGCACCUCCUCCUCCGGACAUCCGGAGGUUGCGGCGUGGCAUUCAGAAAGGUUCUGGAAAUGGAAGGGCCGAGGGACACUCGAACGGGUCCAUCUGCAUAGUGGAAGGUCACUCGGCUGUAAAAGGACUGAAGCACUGACACUGGCCACAGCGUGGAUGAAACUUGAAAUCGUGACCCUGAGCAACAGAAGUCAGGCACAAAAGGCCAACAGGGUCUCACUAGGUCUCCGAGGCUGGCUUGGAACUUGCGAUCCUCUUGCCUCAGGCUCCCGAGUCGCUGGAUUACAGGUGUGUGCGACACACACCCAGCUCGCCUCAAUUCAAACCAAAAAAACCCCCCAAACCACCAAGGGACUUAACUGCUCACACUGCAGACUGGUCACUGUGCAGAGCAGAGGUUUUAGGAUCAUGCAGACGGGGGAGAGCAGAGCUGUAAACCACUGAAUGACACCACACCCUCUGGGGUUGGCCAGCUCCAUGGGUCCCUGCGUCCCUGCCCAGACCCACCCUCCUGAGAUAGGUGCGUGUCACACAGGCCGGGGGAGGCAGGGCACUCCCGAGAAAAAUGCCUCCUGUGUUUUAAAGGUGCCCAGCCUUGCUCGGGACCCAGGGGAGGUAGAUUAGAGGCAGCGCGAGGUACCAUGUUCCUGCCGCUUAUCAGAUGGGCCGGAACCCACGCCUAGAGAGGCCGGGGAGAGGAGGUGGCCGCAGAUGGUGGCCUCCAGGCAGCUCCAGGCAUGCAGCUGGCCCUACACCAUCAGCCCUACGGCCACACCAAGACUAUCUGGAGGGCCCAAGGCCACCAGUCCUGACACACAUGGAUGGAAGGGACACUGCCAUGGGCUCAGGUGACUGCUUUGUCCCUCUAUGGAACUGCGACUCCCUCCCUGAUCCCCACAGCUUGCAGGGCCACUGGGGGAAGCCACACCUCAAUGGCUGCAAACCCGUGCUGAAGUCAGGGACGUGCAGACGCUCCCGGCACCAGGGUUUCCCUCUUUUUUUUAACGGAUGAAGAAGCGGAGGGAGGAAGGGCUGGCGCAUCCCAGAGGCCAGGCUCCUCCAGGGAGUCAGGAGGCGUCCUAAGGGACACAGUGUAAAUGGGGUUUUUAGGUAUGAGCAGGAGCUUGCAGGAUGGGGAAGCGCACCCCUCCCUGGCACAGCCGGCCCUUCCCUUCCUCUGCAGACAAGGUAGGAGGACCCAGAAGUGCGGGGCAGGUCUCAAGCCACAUCCUGCUUCCUGCUUCCGGAGCUCCAUCUGGUGCAGCUUGGUUCCCUCAGGGUCAGACACUGAGGGUCCCAGGUGCCUGGCAGGACCCAGGACUGCCUGCUGAGCUUGGCCCUGCUCCCCAGCACUGGGUCUGUUGCCAUGUCUGUCCUGGUCCCUCCAGGCCACUUUGUACACGCACUCCUCUAGGGUGCAUCUUCCCCAUGGACACUGUUGAGGGGGGUUGCAGAUGAGGAAACUGAGGCGCAAGCCACUCCGAGCACAGUCAGUGAGGGCCGUGUAGGCUCCGGACCCGGGCCCUCUGCUCCCAAGGCGUGCAGCUCCUAAGAACUUUGUCUUGCUCACAGCUCUGACCCACCGCCUGGCAUACUGUAGGGGCCCAAUUAAUACUCAUGCAGUGACUAAAAAUUGCUUUUUCAUGGAACUCAAACUCUGCCUGGCGUGCCCUUGCUCAUCUUGUAAACUCCUACUUGAACCUCGAAGCCCCAUUUACUUUGCCCCCUCCCUAGGAGGUCUUCUUGACUCCUUGAGAAAAGCUCUGGGGGCCCCAGUCUGGGUUCCUCUAGUCCUUGCCCCUCCCACUAGCCCAGAUCUGAGCCCGUGGGACUGGUGCCCAUGUGGCUUUUGUCCCUUGAAUGCUUGGAGGAUGAGCAGCGUGGAAGGUUGGGGCCCACACCCGGCUCUUUUCCUCUCCACUCUGACAUUAAGAAGGACAAACCCUGGAGCAGGAUGAGGUUUCCUUUUUUAUUUUGUUAGAAAAUAAAGUGUUGAUUCGAAGAACAUUAAAAGGCCAGGGCCUGCGCGGAGCUGGCAGGAGGCGGGUCUUGGCUCAGCCGGGCAGGGCCUGGGGCUGGGGAGGCCCCGCGUCCAGCAGGAGGGCGGUGGAGAGGGCACCUGUGCAGAGCCAGGCGGGCUCAGCAGCUCACCAGGUACAUCCCUGCGGGAGGGACAGUGAGGAGGGGCUGUCCUGCCGGCUCCCUCCGGGCUGCCCUGGGUCAACCCAGGCCCCUUUCUUCCUUUUUGUUCGCAGUUGGGGGAGGGGCCCCAGGCCCCACCCCCCUGCUUCCCCCCUGACUUCUUCCUCUGGGGCCCUGACCCCAACCUACUUCCCCAAUUCUGGGUCUCUUGGCUCCAAAGCCUUCCUGUCCUUUCAAAGGCCCCCCUGCAGACUCCUCCCAGCGCCCUGGCAGGGGCA
This is a long non-coding RNA of Sciurus carolinensis (gray squirrel), 2638 nucleotides long. RefSeq lists it as uncharacterized. The transcript is spliced from 3 exons. NCBI's taxonomy places the organism in Eukaryota, Metazoa, Chordata, Mammalia, Rodentia, Sciuridae. The record is from RefSeq and is a predicted model, not a curated record.